AGCAGUCGCCACGGGAAUACGUAGGUGGCAAGCGUUGUCCGGAAUUAUUGGGCGUAAAGGGCUCGCAGGCGGUUUCUUAAGUCUGAUGUGAAAGCCCCCGGCUCAACCGGGGAGGGUCAUUGGAAACUGGGAAACUUGGGUGCAGAAGAGGAGAGUGGAAUUCCACGUGUAGCGGUGAAAUGCGUAGAGAUGUGGAGGAACACCAGUGGCGAAGGCGACUCUCUGGUCUGUAACUGACGCUGAGGAGCGAAAGCGUGGGGAGCGAACAGGAUUAGAUACCCCCGUAGUCCCUGUCUCUUAUAC
This 303-nucleotide ribosomal RNA is filed under the name uncultured bacterium. RNAcentral's name for it is "partial 16S ribosomal RNA". It matches the Rfam family "Bacterial small subunit ribosomal RNA", at positions 507 to 807 of the family's 1533-position model. The record is from RNAcentral.